Long non-coding RNA from Cyprinus carpio (common carp), 656 nucleotides. Lineage: Eukaryota; Metazoa; Chordata; Actinopteri; Cypriniformes; Cyprinidae. The record is from Ensembl.
AUGAAUGACUCAAGUGAAGAAACACGAGUGAAACCACUAUUUCAAAGGAAAAAGAAGAGGAAGAGGGGACAUCUUGAACAUUCGCAGUGGAACUUGAGUGCGCAUCUGCGCAAAGUCUCUCCAAAGUCACUUGGUAACUUGCGCGCACCACUGCAGCUCCAUUCUCAAGCAGUUUUGGGGGACUGGUGUAAUGAGGAAAAGCAGAUGAUCGGGAUGACGGCGGUGGUGUUGUUUAGCCGUCACGGCGAGGAGAGACUGUCGUCCGGCAGAAUGGCGUCAGACGUGGGCCGCAGCACUUGAGCAGGUGCAGAGCAGAUUUUGCAUGGAAAGGGUGAAAGUGUGCAGCUGCAGCAGUGAUCCUGAAGCUCAGACGUAUGUCAAUAUUUUGCUGUCGUACCUUAAGAUUAAAGGCAAAUUUCCUCUGGAGCUUCAUUUGACAUUUACUGGGCUUUUGCAUUGUCUGACUAUUUAUAUCACAGCAGAAACAUACCUUUACAGCACUGCCGUAGAAUUACAGUGUCUUAUUUAGCUCGAAAGCAUGUGAAAUAGCACUUUUUUUAAUUGCAGGUGUAUUAUUCAACGUCAGUAAUUUGCAUCACAAUGUUUGACAUGAAACUUGAAAUAAAAUCAGGAACUAGCUCUAUUUUAGAUGUAUG